This is a long non-coding RNA of Gymnodraco acuticeps, 738 nucleotides long. RefSeq lists it as uncharacterized. The record is from RefSeq and is a predicted model, not a curated record. Lineage: Eukaryota; Metazoa; Chordata; Actinopteri; Perciformes; Bathydraconidae. The transcript is spliced from 3 exons.
ACUCUGAUACUCGGCGCACCACUCUGAUACUCGCGCGCACCACUCUGAUACUCGUACGCACCACUCUGAGAUUCGCACAGACAGCAGCAGGUUGCAGCAAAACGUUUCUUUCUACUGACUGGACUGGAGUUGACAAAAAUCCACCUGACUUCUAGAAGAAAAUGAAGAGAAAGUCAACAGACAUCUCUUCUUAUUUUAAGAAGAAGAUGAGUAAAGGAUAGACAGAGCUGGCAGGGGAGCAGCAGCAUAGGGCUGGUCCGCAGCUCCUUCAAAAUGAAACGAGAAUCUAUGCAGUUGUUCCUCUUCUGUGUUCUGAGGUUAUGAGCCGACCAUUAGUCAAGUUUGUUUCAUAAUGUUCUGUAUGCUAAGUUAAAAACAGGGUAACCAGUUUGUUUAUAAAGUAUAUACAUUUUCAAAACAAAUGGAAUACAAGCUAUAUGUACGCUCACCACAGUGGCCUAAUCUAAAAAAAUUGAAAUAUGUCUCGUCACCUAUUUUCUGUCUAACUAAAAGGUGGUGUUUUGUAUCAUUUAUAAUGUUUUGAAUUUGCUAUAAAGUUCAAUAAUAGAUGGUGUUUUUGUGUUCAAUCACAGUAUGUAUUUACCAUUUUAUACCCCUUGUGUUUUUGGGUCCUGUUGAAAUAAAAUAUUGUCAUGUUUUAAAACUUGAUUUAAUGAAGUAAUGUCAAUCAUCUUUGAUCCCAGUGUGACAAACAGCUUUGUUCAGUCUAAAACAAUA